GUGCAUUCUGUUGAUGCAGACGGCAUGAAAACGGAAACAAGAAGUAUGCCGGCUCACUGUGCUGCAUACAAUUACACACUACGUCGUACGAUUGAGACAAGGAAACUUGGAAUGACUUUUCAUAGGUUUCCCAGAGACUAUGGGUUGAGGAGGAAUUGGAAGUUUGUCGGCUUAGACCUGGUGUCAUUCCAUCAGUGUUAAACUUCCCGGCUCAUCUUGGAAGAGUACGUGCCAGAAAGACCACGACCAAGCAGCCUUGAGAUCUUAGACAGCGUCUCCCUGAGGUCCCUCUCUAUCUCCCCACACAUCCACCAACCACUGGAACACAUCUCCAAAGUUCUGCUGGACCAGCUCAGCUUCCCCUCAGAAGAAGUGCUGCCACCUGCCAGAUGAAGGAGCCUUUUGAGAGGCAGCUGGCAUCGUGAUUGGACUGUACUUUGGUCUGUUCCAAUCCAGCUUCAGCUCCAGAGACGGCAGGCGGGACGAGUCAACGGAGGCCUGGUGGACGAAGGCAUGCAGCUGAGUACAAUCCAGAAAACAACAGAGGAGGAGUGCAGCAGCCCAGAGCCAGAACAACCAGAGUAGCAUCGUAUGUCUCUUAGAAAACAUCAUAGUAUAGCCUUUGGUAUGAAAAAAACGCCAUCAUAUACAUCGUAUAUUGUACAAAUAACAAGUCAAAGGAAAGAGACAUACAUUGUAGAAUUGUAGUAAUUGUGGGCUGACUGAUUUACUGAUUAUCAGUAUUUUAUUUUUUACUGAUUUACGGUAAUAAAUACAUUUAAAAAUGGUGCUACUUUGGCUCUGAACCUUUAUCUACCUGUGGUCGCUCUGUCUUCUGGAGUGAUUUGAUUGGUUAUACGUCAC
Amphiprion ocellaris (clown anemonefish) is the source of this 864-nucleotide long non-coding RNA. The record is from Ensembl. Lineage: Eukaryota; Metazoa; Chordata; Actinopteri; Pomacentridae.